CUAAUGGCUAUCCUGUAAGAACAAACUACGGAUUUAUAUGAAUUCAGCACCCCCGGGAUAUGGUUUUGGGGUUUUCACCACAAGAGCAAAUUAUACAACUUUAUUCUUGAAAAUGUUAGAGACUGAGACUUGGAGUCAAAGUCAACAGACACGCUUGCAUGGACAUGAAGGAUGUAAAGAACUAGAGUAUUAUAACUGAAAGCAUUUUGUCUGGAUUUGUGUAUGGAAACAGAAGGAUUUAGUAUUGGUAUCCUGAAUUUUUGUCAACUUCUAGCCAAGAUCCUGUACUUAGCUGAAUGUGGAG
Long non-coding RNA from Saccostrea cuccullata (small rock oyster), 304 nucleotides. RefSeq lists it as uncharacterized. The transcript is spliced from 3 exons. The record is from RefSeq and is a predicted model, not a curated record. NCBI's taxonomy places the organism in Eukaryota, Metazoa, Mollusca, Bivalvia, Ostreida, Ostreidae.